Molecule: ribosomal RNA, 253 nt
Filed under: uncultured bacterium
Lineage: Bacteria
Description: partial 16S ribosomal RNA
Rfam family: Bacterial small subunit ribosomal RNA
Source: RNAcentral
UACAGAGGGGGCAAGCGUUGCUCGGAAUUACUGGGCGUAAAGGGCGCGUAGGCGGCCUGUUAAGUCGAACGUGAAAUCCCCGGGCUCAACCCGGGAACUGCGUCCGAUACUGGCAGGCUUGAAUCCGGGAGAGGGAUGCGGAAUUCCAGGUGUAGCGGUGAAAUGCGUAGAUAUCUGGAGGAACACCGGUGGCGAAGGCGGCGCUCUGGGCCGGUACUGACACUGAGGAGCGAAAGCGUGGGUAGCAAACAGG